RNAcentral lists this transfer RNA (73 nucleotides) under Ixodes scapularis (black-legged tick). It matches the Rfam family "tRNA". From Rfam's summary of the family: Transfer RNA (tRNA) molecules are approximately 80 nucleotides in length. Their secondary structure includes four short double-helical elements and three loops (D, anti-codon, and T loops). Further hydrogen bonds mediate the characteristic L-shaped molecular structure. tRNAs have two regions of fundamental functional importance: the anti-codon, which is responsible for specific mRNA codon recognition, and the 3' end, to which the tRNAs corresponding amino acid is attached (by aminoacyl-tRNA synthetases). tRNAs cope with the degeneracy of the genetic code in two manners: having more than one tRNA (with a specific anti-codon) for a particular amino acid; and 'wobble' base-pairing, i.e. permitting non-standard base-pairing at the 3rd anti-codon position. The record is from Rfam by way of RNAcentral. Lineage: Eukaryota; Metazoa; Arthropoda; Arachnida; Ixodida; Ixodidae.
CCCUGGUUAGCUCAGUUGGUAGAGCGCUCCAUUGGAAAUGGAGGGGUCCCGGGCUUGAUAUUAGGACGAGGCG